This 233-nucleotide ribosomal RNA is filed under the name uncultured bacterium. Its description in RNAcentral is "partial 16S ribosomal RNA". It matches the Rfam family "Bacterial small subunit ribosomal RNA", at positions 102 to 334 of the family's 1533-position model. The record is from RNAcentral.
ACGGGUGAGUAACGCGUAUGCAACUUGCCUAUCAGAGGGGGAUAACCCGGCGAAAGUCGGACUAAUACCGCAUGAAGCAGGGGCCCCGCAUGGGGAUAUUUGCUAAAGAUUCAUCGCUGAUAGAUAGGCAUGCGUUCCAUUAGGCAGUUGGCGGGGUAACGGCCCACCAAACCGACGAUGGAUAGGGGUUCUGAGAGGAAGGUCCCCCACAUUGGUACUGAGACACGGACCAA